This 1107-nucleotide long non-coding RNA is filed under the name Cairina moschata (Muscovy duck). RNAcentral's name for it is "domestica (muscovy Duck (domestic type)) lncRNA (ENSCMMG00000008804.1)". The record is from RNAcentral. Lineage: Eukaryota; Metazoa; Chordata; Aves; Anseriformes; Anatidae.
AUGGGAUCGGGGGGGGGGGGGGGGGGGGGGGGGGGGGGGGGGGGGGGGGGGGAGGCGGCGCCGGUCCCGGUCUGGAGCCCGGUCCCGGUUGUGGNGGGGGGGGGGGGGGGGGGGGGGGGGGGGGGGGGGGGGGGGGGGGGGGGGGGGGGGGGGGGGGGGGGGGGGGGGGGGGGGGGGGGGGGGGAAGCGGGGCCGGUCCCGGUCUGGAGCCCGGUCCCGGUUGUGGUUCCAGUCCCGGUUGUAGGCACCGUGUGGGUGCCCACCGUCCUCCCGCCCGUUUCCACGCGUGUGCCCACGCGGGGGCCGUGUCCCCGUGUGUGCAGCGGGACGCGGGUGGCGCAAGGAGCAGCCCGCGGGCCCCUCCGGGACACGGAGUCACAGAGACCCCACAGUGUAACAGAGACACCACAAACACACAGAGACCCCACAGAGACCCCACUGAGCCCCAACAGUCCCACAGAGACCCCCAAAGAGCCCCCCCAGGGCCACCCACCCACCCACAGAGCCUCCACAAACCCACAGAGCCCCCACGGAGUCCCCCAAAGAGCCCCCACAGAGCCACCCACCCACCCACAGAGCCCCACAGAGCCCCAACAGUCCCACAGAGCCACCACAGACCCCUCACAGACCUACAGAGCCACAGACCCACAGAGCUACCCACCCAUCCACAAGUCCCCCACAGAGCAACAGAGUCCCCACAGACUCCCCACUGACCCACAGAGCCACCACAGACCCUCAGACCUCCCCCCCAGACUCACAGAGUCUUCCACAGAGCUCCAACAGUCCCACAGAGCCCCCCACAGAGUCCCCCAAAGAGCCCCUACAGAGCCAAGCCCCCACCCACAGAGCCCCCCCAGACACCCCACAGAGCCACCCACCCAUGCACAGAGCCACUACAGAGUCCCCACAGAGCCACCCGUGGCAUGGGCUGGGCUGGGGGCAGCUCACAGCUCACCCACCAGCCCCCCUCCCCAGGGCACGACGCCUCCCUCCAUGCUGGCCACCCAGAGCCCCAUCCUUGGGGGCUUCCAGAAAUGGGGCACCCACAGCCACCCUGGCAUCCCAUGCCACCCGCACCACACACGAUUCCUUCCUUGUGCCACUUAA